UGGGAUUUAGCUCAGCGGCAUAGCACCUGCCUUGCAAGCAUGUGGUUGUGAGUUCAAUCCCAA
This 63-nucleotide transfer RNA is filed under the name Cavia porcellus (domestic guinea pig). It matches the Rfam family "tRNA". Rfam says of the family: Transfer RNA (tRNA) molecules are approximately 80 nucleotides in length. Their secondary structure includes four short double-helical elements and three loops (D, anti-codon, and T loops). The record is from Rfam by way of RNAcentral. Lineage: Eukaryota; Metazoa; Chordata; Mammalia; Rodentia; Caviidae.